RNAcentral lists this ribosomal RNA (253 nucleotides) under Gemmiger formicilis. Its description in RNAcentral is "partial 16S ribosomal RNA". It matches the Rfam family "Bacterial small subunit ribosomal RNA", at positions 524 to 776 of the family's 1533-position model. Lineage: Bacteria; Bacillati; Bacillota; Clostridia; Eubacteriales; Oscillospiraceae. The record is from RNAcentral.
UACGGAAGGUCCGGGCGUCAUCCGGAUUUAUUGGGUUUAAAGGGAGCGCAGGCGGACCGGCAAGUUGGAAGUGAAAACUAUGGGCUCAACCCAUAAAUUGCUUUCAAAACUGCUGGCCUUGAGUAGUGCAGAGGUAGGUGGAAUUCCCGGUGUAGCGGUGGAAUGCGUAGAUAUCGGGAGGAACACCAGUGGCGAAGGCGACCUACUGGGCACCAACUGACGCUGAGGCUCGAAAGCAUGGGUAGCAAACAGG